RNAcentral lists this ribosomal RNA (465 nucleotides) under uncultured bacterium. Its description in RNAcentral is "partial 16S ribosomal RNA". It matches the Rfam family "Bacterial small subunit ribosomal RNA", at positions 28 to 506 of the family's 1533-position model. The record is from RNAcentral.
GACGAACGCUGGCGGCGCGCCUAACACAUGCAAGUCGAACGAGCGAGCGAGCGCUUGCUUUCUUGAGCGAGUGGCUAACGGGUGGGUAACGCGUGUGGAACCUGCCUCAAAGAGGCGGACAACAGUUGGAAACGACUGCUAAUACCGCAUAUGCCCACGACCCGGCCUCGGGUUGAGGGAAAAGGAGCAAUCCGCUUUGAGAUGGCGUGGCGUCCGAUGCGCUAGUUGGUGGGGUAACGGCCGACCGAGGCUACGAACGGACGCCGGAGUGAGCGGUGGGACGCGGACAUGGGGACUGCGGCACGGCCCAGACGCGUACGGGGGGCAGCAGUGGGGAGUAUUACGCAGUGGGGGAGAGCCUGAUGCAGCGGCGCCGGGGGUAGGAAGAAGUUCCGCGGAUGGGAAACUCAUGUUGUUGGGGAAGAUGAGGACGGUACUGAAGAAGGAAGUGACGGCUAACUACGG